CAGUAGCCGCGGUAAUACGGAGGGUGCAAGCGUUACUCGGAAUCACUGGGCGUAAAGGACGCGUAGGCGGAUUAUCAAGUCUCUUGUGAAAUCUAACGGCUUAACCGUUAAACUGCUUGGGAAACUGAUAACCUAGAGUAAGGGAGAGGCAGAUGGAAUUCUUGGUGUAGGAGUAAAAUCCGUAGAUAUCAAGAAGAAUACCUAUUGCGAAGGCGAUCUGCUGGAACUUAACUGACGCUAAUGCGUGAAAGCGUGGGGAGCAAACAGGAUUAGAUACCCCGGUAGUCCCUGUCUCUUAUAC
This 301-nucleotide ribosomal RNA is filed under the name uncultured bacterium. Its description in RNAcentral is "partial 16S ribosomal RNA". It matches the Rfam family "Bacterial small subunit ribosomal RNA", at positions 509 to 807 of the family's 1533-position model. The record is from RNAcentral.